AGUAUAUUCCACGGAAUUAACGGCGGCACCACGAAAUGCGCGGGGUUUGACGGUACCAGGCGAGGAAGCCCCGGCAAACUACGUGCCAGCAGCCGCGGUAAUACGUAAGGGGCGAGCGUUGUCCGGAAUUACUGGGCGUAAAGGGCGUGUAAGCGGCCUGUUAAGUCAGGGGUGAAAGACCGGGGCUCAACCCCGGGGGUGCCUCUGAAACUGGCGGGCUUGAGUGCUCUAGAGGGCAGUGGAAUUCCCGGUGUAGCAGUGAAAUGCGUAAAGAUCGGGAGGAACACCAGUGGCGAAGGCGGCUGCCUGGGGAGUCACUGACGCUGAAGCGCGAAAGCUAGGGGAGCAAACAGGAUUAAAUACCCUGGUAGUCCUAGCCGUAAACGAUGAGCGCUAUGUGUGAGGGGUAUCCACCCCCCUCCUGCCGUAGCUAACGCAUUAAGCGCUCCCCCUGGGGAAUACGGCCGCAAGGUUUAAACUCAAAUGAAUUGACGG
RNAcentral lists this ribosomal RNA (495 nucleotides) under uncultured bacterium. RNAcentral's name for it is "bacterial SSU rRNA". It matches the Rfam family "Bacterial small subunit ribosomal RNA", at positions 408 to 916 of the family's 1533-position model. The record is from RNAcentral.